GAUGAACGCUGGCGGCGUGCCUAAUACAUGCAAGUCGAGCGAACAGACGAGGAGCUUGCUCCUCUGACGUUAGCGGCGGACGGGUGAGUAACACGUGGAUAACCUACCUAUAAGACUGGGAUAACUUCGGGAAACCGGAGCUAAUACCGGAUAAUAUAUUGAACCGCAUGGUUCAAUAGUGAAAGACGGCUUUGCUGUCACUUAUAGAUGGAUCCGCGCCGCAUUAGCUAGUUGGUAAGGUAACGGCUUACCAAGGCAACGAUGCGUAGCCGACCUGAGAGGGGGAUCGGCCACCAUGGAACUGGAACACCGUCCAGAGUACUAAGGGAGGCAGCAGUUGGGAAUGUUCCGCAAUUGGGGAAAACUUGACGGAACAACGGCGCGUGAGUUAUGGAGGUCCUCCGAUCGGAAAACCGUGUUUUUAGGGAAGAACAAAUGUGUAAGUAACUAUGCACGUCUUGACGGUACCUAAUCAGAAAGCCACGGCUAACUACGUG
RNAcentral lists this ribosomal RNA (497 nucleotides) under uncultured bacterium. RNAcentral describes it as "partial 16S ribosomal RNA". It matches the Rfam family "Bacterial small subunit ribosomal RNA", at positions 28 to 507 of the family's 1533-position model. The record is from RNAcentral.